RNAcentral lists this ribosomal RNA (429 nucleotides) under Fusobacteriota bacterium. RNAcentral describes it as "Fusobacteria bacterium partial 16S ribosomal RNA". It matches the Rfam family "Bacterial small subunit ribosomal RNA", at positions 355 to 776 of the family's 1533-position model. The record is from RNAcentral. Lineage: Bacteria; Fusobacteriati; Fusobacteriota.
UGGGGAAUAUUGCGCAAUGGGCGAAAGCCUGACGCAGCGACGCCGCGUGAGGGAUGAAGGUUUUCGGAUCGUAAACCUCUGUCAGAAGGGAAGAAACCGCACUGUGCUAAUCAGCAGUGCCUUGACGGUACCUUCAAAGGAAGCACCGGCUAACUCCGUGCCAGCAGCCGCGGUAAUACGGAGGGUGCAAGCGUUAAUCGGAAUUACUGGGCGUAAAGCGCACGUAGGCUGCUUUGUAAGUCAGGGGUGGAAUCCCACGGCUCAACCGUGGAACUGCCUUUGAUACUGCUUAGCUUGAAUCCGGGAGAGGGUGGCGGAAUUCCAGGUGUAGGAGUGAAAUCCGUAGAUAUCUGGAGGAACAUCAGUGGCGAAGGCGGCCACCUGGACCGGUAUUGACGCUGAGGUGCGAAAGCGUGGGGAGCAAACAGG